UACGGGGGGGGCAAGCGUUGUUCGGAAUUACUGGGCGUAAAGGGCUCGUAGGUGGCCAACUAAGUCGGACGUGAAAUCCCUCAGCUUAACUGGGGAACUGCGUCCGAUACUGGAUGGCUUGAGUUUGGGAGAGGGAUGCGGAAUUCCAGGUGUAGCGGUGAAAUGCGUAGAUCUCUGGAGGAACACCGGUGGCGAAGGCGGCAUCCUGGACCAACACUGACACUGAGGAGCGAAAGCCAGGGGAGCAAACGGG
RNAcentral lists this ribosomal RNA (253 nucleotides) under uncultured bacterium. Its description in RNAcentral is "partial 16S ribosomal RNA". It matches the Rfam family "Bacterial small subunit ribosomal RNA", at positions 524 to 776 of the family's 1533-position model. The record is from RNAcentral.